Long non-coding RNA from Homo sapiens (human), 512 nucleotides. Ensembl annotates it as testis expressed transcript, Y-linked 23. Its record names the gene TTTY23. Lineage: Eukaryota; Metazoa; Chordata; Mammalia; Primates; Hominidae. The record is from Ensembl.
GCAGCAAGAUGAAGAUUUCCUUUUGUCACAGCCUUUAUUUCCACAAUGAAGUGAUCAGGUACAGGGUAUCUCAUUCCACUGCAGUCCAGUUGUUCUGGGAUCAUGAAGGUCAAGCCUCCAGCUGCAGGCAGUACACCUCCUACCUGAGCUUUUUCACCUGUUUGGCUGAACAUGACUGCCCGGGUUUUGGUAGGAUUGCUGAGAUAUCCACCUGAGGCCCAUCUAAGUCUACAUUCCUUCAGAAUGUUUCUCCCAGGUCUGUCAUGUUCUGUUUUGAUGACCCCGGGCUGCCCUGAUAUGUUAUCCUCUCUGCUAUCCUCACUCCAACUGCCCUGCCUUCCCAUAUAAGACAGUCCACUUCACAGGGAAUCUGGAGGAAUGCACUGGGUUCCAGUGUGAUGAAAUGUUCUAUUAUCUCCAUGUACAUGUAUUUUAGAGCUUCCUCCAGGACUGGAAAUGUGAAGAGAUUGCAAAAUGGCUGGGGACCUUCAGUAUGUGUCCAGGGAGGGAAC